CCUGAGCCUCAGUGGCUGUUGUGUCACCAUACCCACACAAUCUCACUCCUUCCUCCUGUGAGGGCCCUUCCCUUGCUUCAGGGCCUCGUACACUCCCCGGUCUCCCCCUCCCCAGCCUUCAACACCAUCAUAUCCACGGCCCUCCUCAGCUCAGCUCAGCUGCAGGCCAGCCAUUUGGGUCUAACACCCACACAGAAGAAAACAGUGUUUCCAUACAAGUUCUUGCUGUGACCCUGGACUCAUGCCAAGCUGACCCAGGCAAUAAACGGAAGGCAGAGCGAAGAGGGAGAAUGCCCGGGGUAGACUUGUGGCUGGGAAGGCAAGACAACAACAGAUGUGGGUGGCCAGACCUGGACUUCUGUACCCACUCUACCCAGCCUGGUGUGUAGCCUUGAGAAGGAUGCUCCAGCUCUGUUCCUCAAUCUCUGUGACGGUGAAAGCAGCUCAGGAAGGCCACCUCUAGAGCAGACCUCCUGAAGAGCAGGACUGGGCUCGGAGUGAUCAACUGCAUUCACCCAGCUGGCUCCAGGGAUUUCUCCAGUGCUACAGUGCAUCUCAGCAGGAAGUGAGACCCAUCCUCGUGGGUCUCAGCGUCAAGAUGCUGGAUAUAGCUCCGUGACUCCCGAGCCUCGCCAGCUACUGAAGGCUCCUCUGUCACCCCCGGAAGACCCUCAGUCUCUGGAGGGUCGGGUAAAGAUGUGCAGGUCUUGCUUCUGUAGGACUCAGUUAGGCUUCUGCAUGCUGCCUGGGCUUCCAGCUGUUGUGUAGAGCCCGGCAUCCUUGUGUUGGGGCCACCCAAGGUCCAGCCUGCUCUCCUUGUUGGUCUUGAACUAGUUUGUCCUCAAAGACACUUAAUGCACAUCCCGA
Long non-coding RNA from Mastomys coucha (southern multimammate mouse), 867 nucleotides. RefSeq lists it as uncharacterized. The transcript is spliced from 4 exons. Lineage: Eukaryota; Metazoa; Chordata; Mammalia; Rodentia; Muridae. The record is from RefSeq and is a predicted model, not a curated record.